GAUGAAGAACGCAGCGAAAUGCGAUAAGUAAUGUGAAUUGCAGAAUUCAGUGAAUCAUCGAAUCUUUGAACGCACAUUGCGCCCGCUAGUAUUCUGGCGGGCAUGCCUGUCCGAGCGUCAUUUCAACCCUCAAGCCCCCGGGCUUGGUGUUGGGGAUCGGCGAGCCUCCGCGCCCGCCGUCCCCUAAAUCUAGUGGCGGUCUCGCUGUAGCUUCCUCUGCGUAGUCGCACACCUCGCACUGGGAAACAGCGCGGCCACGCCGUUAAACCCCCAACUUCUGAACGUUUGACCUCGGAUCAGGUAGGAAUACCCGCUGAACUUAAGCAUAUCAAUAAGCGGAGGA
RNAcentral lists this unclassified non-coding RNA (343 nucleotides) under soil metagenome. Its description in RNAcentral is "partial contains 5.8S ribosomal RNA, internal transcribed spacer 2, and large subunit ribosomal RNA". The stretch from base 1 to 120 matches the Rfam family "5.8S ribosomal RNA", at positions 35 to 154 of the family's 154-position model. The record is from RNAcentral.